This 74-nucleotide transfer RNA is filed under the name Kluyveromyces lactis. Its description in RNAcentral is "transfer RNA Gln (CTG) cove". It matches the Rfam family "tRNA". From Rfam's summary of the family: Transfer RNA (tRNA) molecules are approximately 80 nucleotides in length. Their secondary structure includes four short double-helical elements and three loops (D, anti-codon, and T loops). The record is from RNAcentral. Lineage: Eukaryota; Fungi; Ascomycota; Saccharomycetes; Saccharomycetales; Saccharomycetaceae.
GGUUGCGUAGUGUAGAGGUUAUCACCGUGGAUUCUGAGAUUCCAUUAACCCCGGUUCGAAUCCGGGCGCGACCA